GCACUGGUGGUUAAGUGGUAGAAUUCUCGCCUUCCAUGUGAAAGACCCAGGUUCGAUUCCCAGCCAAGGCA
Molecule: transfer RNA, 71 nt
Filed under: Loxodonta africana (African savanna elephant)
Lineage: Eukaryota; Metazoa; Chordata; Mammalia; Proboscidea; Elephantidae
Rfam family: tRNA
About the family: Transfer RNA (tRNA) molecules are approximately 80 nucleotides in length.
Source: Rfam by way of RNAcentral